Molecule: small RNA, 3092 nt
Filed under: Pongo abelii (Sumatran orangutan)
Lineage: Eukaryota; Metazoa; Chordata; Mammalia; Primates; Hominidae
Description: retained intron
Source: RNAcentral
AAACCACAGUAGCCACUGUCUUGCUCAUACGAGGUGCCCAUCACAGGUCAGCAGAGGACUCCGCCUGUUGUGUCCCUUGGAUAUCUCGGCUGUUGGAGUCAGAAGUUGCCAGUCUUUGAGCCCACGGGAAAGCACACAGGACAUUCCCAGGCAGUGACAUCCUCUUUGGUCACUUCUGCCCACGUCACAUGCCAGGAAACACAAGAUGCCAAGUGGUCGUGAGGCAGGAGACUGGGGUAUUUGAGCAGUGUCAGCCACCACCAUAGCCAGUAAUGCACAGAGGGUGAAUGUGUGCUUCAAACUGUGAGACUGAAUCUUCGGCUAAAUCUUUUUUUUUUUUUCUGUGAGAUGGAGUCUUGCUCUGUCACACAGGCUGGAGUGCAGUGGCACAAUCUCAGCUCACUGCAACCUCUGCCUCCUGGGUUCAAGCAAUUCUCCUGCCUCAGCCUCCCAAGUAGCUGGAAUUAUAGGCAGGUACCACCACAUCCGGCUAAUUUUUGUAUUUUUAGUAGAGACGGGGUUUCACCAUGUUGGCCAGGGUGGUCUCGAACUUCUGACCUUGUGGUCCACCUGCCUUGGUCUCCCAAAGUGUUGGAAUUACAGGCGUGAGCCACAAUGCCCAGCCUAAAUCAUUUCUUAGGGUACACACCUACCUUAAUUCAUCAGGUGCUUGACUUUAAAUGGUUAUUGUCACUGGUCAGUCAUGCCUGACUGACCACUGCAAGGUGGAAGGUUCAUUGAUGCCAAGUGGGUGCUUCAAUGCAGCAUCAAGCUGUCCAGUCCUGUGAAACGCCCACGGAAGGAGCCUGUGGACGAGGACCUGUACCCAGAGCACUACCGGAAAUACUCCGACUACAUCAAAGGCAGCAACCUGGAUGCCCCUGAGCCCUACCGAAUUGGCCGGAUCAAAGAGAUCUUCUGUCCCAAGAAGAGCAACGGCAGGCCCAACGAGACUGACAUCAAAAUCCGGGUCAACAAGUUCUACAGGCCUGAGAACACCCACAAGUCCACUCCAGCGAGCUACCACGCAGACAUCAACCUGCUGUACUGGAGCGACGAGGAGGCCGUGGUGGACUUCAAGGCUGUGCAGGGCCGCUGCACCGUGGAGUAUGGGGAGGACCUGCCCGAGUGCGUCCAGGUGUACUCCAUGGGCGGCCCCGACCGCUUCUACUUCCUCGAGGCCUAUAAUGCAAAGACCAAAAGCUUUGAAGAUCCUCCCAACCAUGCCCGUAGCCCUGGAAACAAAGGGAAGGGCAAGGGAAAAGGGAAGGGCAAGCCCAAGUCCCAAGCCUGUGAGCCGAGCGAGCCAGAGAUAGAGAUCAAGCUGCCCAAGCUGCGGACCCUGGACGUGUUUUCUGGCUGCGGAGGGUUGUCGGAGGGAUUCCACCAAGCAGGCAUCUCUGACACGCUGUGGGCCAUCGAGAUGUGGGACCCUGCAGCCCAGGCAUUCCGGCUGAACAACCCCGGCUCCACAGUGUUCACAGAGGACUGCAACAUCCUGCUGAAGCUGGUCAUGGCUGGGGAGACCACCAACUCCCGCGGCCAGCGGCUACCCCAGAAGGGAGACGUGGAGAUGCUGUGCGGCGGGCCGCCCUGCCAGGGCUUCAGCGGCAUGAACCGCUUCAAUUCGCGCACCUACUCCAAGUUCAAAAACUCUCUGGUGGUUUCCUUCCUCAGCUACUGCGACUACUACCGGCCCCGGUUCUUCCUCCUGGAGAAUGUCAGGAACUUUGUCUCCUUCAAGCGCUCCAUGGUCCUGAAGCUCACCCUCCGCUGCCUGGUCCGCAUGGGCUAUCAGUGCACCUUCGGCGUGCUGCAGGCCGGUCAGUACGGUGUGGCCCAGACACGGAGGCGGGCCAUCAUCCUGGCCGCGGCCCCUGGAGAGAAGCUCCCUCUGUUCCCGGAGCCACUGCACGUGUUUGCUCCCCGGGCCUGCCAGCUGAGUGUGGUGGUGGAUGACAAGAAGUUUGUGAGCAACAUAACCAGGUUGAGCUCGGGUCCUUUCCGGACCAUCACGGUGCGAGACACGAUGUCCGACCUGCCGGAGGUGCGGAAUGGAGCCUCGGCACUGGAGAUCUCCUACAACGGGGAGCCUCAGUCCUGGUUCCAGAGGCAGCUCCGGGGCGCACAGUACCAGCCCAUCCUCAGGGACCACAUCUGUAAGGACAUGAGUGCAUUGGUGGCUGCCCGCAUGCGGCACAUCCCCUUGGCCCCAGGCUCAGACUGGCGCGAUCUGCCCAACAUCGAGGUGCGGCUCUCGGACGGCACCAUGGCCAGGAAGCUGCGGUAUACCCACCAUGACAGGAAGAAUGGCCGCAGCAGCUCUGGGGCCCUCCGUGGGGUCUGCUCCUGCGUGGAAGCCGGCAAAGCCUGCGACCCCGCAGCCAGGCAGUUCAACACCCUCAUCCCCUGGUGCCUGCCCCACACUGGGAACCGGCACAACCACUGGGCUGGCCUCUAUGGAAGGCUCGAGUGGGAUGGCUUCUUCAGCACAACGGUCACCAACCCCGAGCCCAUGGGCAAGCAGGGCCGUGUGCUCCACCCAGAGCAGCACCGCGUGGUGAGCGUGCGGGAGUGUGCCCGCUCCCAGGGCUUCCCUGAUACCUACCGGCUCUUCGGCAACAUCCUGGACAAGCACCGGCAGGUGGGCAAUGCCGUGCCACCGCCCCUGGCCAAAGCCAUUGGCUUGGAGAUCAAGCUCUGUAUGUUGGCCAAAGCCCGAGAGAGUGCCUCAGCUAAAAUAAAGGAGGAGGAAGCUGCUAAGGACUAGUUCUGCCCUCCCGUCACCCCUGUUUCUGGCACCAGGAAUCCCCAACAUGCACUGAUGUUGUGUUUUUAACAUGUCAAUCUGUCCGUUCACAUGUGUGGUACAUGGUGUUUGUGGCCUUGGCUGACAUGAAGCUGUUGUGUGAGGUUCGCUUAUCAACUAAUGAUUUAGUGAUCAAAUUGUGCAGUACUUUGUGCAUUCUGGAUUUUAAAAGUUUUUUAUUAUGCAUUAUAUCAAAUCUACCACUGUAUGAGUGGAAAUUAAGACUUUAUGUAGUUUUUAUAUGUUGUAAUAUUUCUUCAAAUAAAUCUCUCCUAUAAACCAC